UAGAAUGGCCUGGAAGUUUUUCAUUCUGU
RNAcentral lists this non-coding RNA (29 nucleotides) under Mus musculus (house mouse). Lineage: Eukaryota; Metazoa; Chordata; Mammalia; Rodentia; Muridae. The record is from RNAcentral.